This 1111-nucleotide long non-coding RNA is filed under the name Bemisia tabaci. RNAcentral describes it as "lncRNA ENSASIAIIG004614". Lineage: Eukaryota; Metazoa; Arthropoda; Insecta; Hemiptera; Aleyrodidae. The record is from RNAcentral.
UCGUAAAUUCCAUGAUAAUUUGUCGGCACUAAGUGCUACCGAAAUUCUAACUCUGCACCUGUUGACAUGAAGCCAGACGCACUCUCCACUAUGCAAACCUGACCGGCAGGGUCGAAUUUUGAAAGGGAUUUUCUUUCAAACUAAAAUGUUCAUGUAAUGAAUAAAUAAUGCGUGCUAUUUCUUACCAACUUGUGACAAUAUUACGAACAUACUGAAUGGAAGAAACUUCUAAAAUUUACUGAUAAGUUUGAGAAAAAAUACUGAAAACACCAAGGAUCAGAGAAAUUUCCACGAUUAUGCUUUGCCUCCAUCUAAGCUGUGGAAAGCAAGGCUUGUUCAAAGGAUUUUUCUAGAACAACGUCCCAAAUUUGUAAAAUUAAUUAUUAGGGCACAUGAUUAGCGACCCGGAAAGAUAGUAAAAAAGAGUUGCUUCAAUGGGUAUAGAUAAUAGUAAUGGAUUUCAAUUAAGCUAAUAAUACAAAUCACUGAUACGGUAAAAAAGUUAAGCGAAGAAUUAAACUUAACAAUGGAGGUUUUUUUAAGGAUUAACUUACUUGCAUAAUGAUGAAAAUGGUAGAGACGAACAGAACGGCGUGAAUAUAUAAAUGCACAACUAUAUCUGCAUGCCAGUUGAAACGUUCCACUCGAAGAAUUAGUGAUCACACCAGUAGACCUGUCAUUCAUUUUAUAGAGAUUUAUCGGUUGGCUUACAAUCACAGUCUACAAAAUGGCAGUCAAAAAAAUCCUAGUAAUUGUUUUAGUUGCAAUUCUGGGCCUCGCAGGAGGAGUGUAUGCGGAGGAGGAGUGCGCGAGCAAAAGAUGAGAGCGCCAAACUUCAAAAAUUUCCGAAACUUCAAAAAUGCGAAACUCCAAAACUGAUUCAGGAAAGAGAGGAGGAAAAAAGAGCGGAUACUUCUUUCUGACGCUUUGAAAAUAUCCCAGAAAAAGUCUGACACCGUUCGUCCAUCAACUACACACUCCACUUUUACGUCAAUGAAAUACACUUAUCCGAAUAAAAAAGCAGCAAAUCAAAAAUUAUAUUGUUUAUUUCCUGCUGACUAAAUAAAUGAGCUUACAUUUCAAAAUUGUAAUAAAUGAUUGUCGUUAAGGU